This 446-nucleotide ribosomal RNA is filed under the name uncultured organism. RNAcentral's name for it is "partial 16S ribosomal RNA". It matches the Rfam family "Bacterial small subunit ribosomal RNA", at positions 335 to 797 of the family's 1533-position model. The record is from RNAcentral.
ACUCCUACGGGAGGCAGCAGUGGGGAAUAUUGGACAAUGGGCGCAAGCCUGAUCCAGCCAUGCCGCGUGAGUGAUGAAGGCCCUAGGGUUGUAAAGCUCUUUCACCGGUGAAGAUAAUGACGGUAACCGGAGAAGAAGCCCCGGCUAACUUCGUGCCAGCAGCCGCGGUAAUACGAAGGGGGCUAGCGUUGUUCGGAUUUACUGGGCGUAAAGCGCACGUAGGCGGACUAUUAAGUCAGGGGUGAAAUCCCGGGGCUCAACCCCGGAACUGCCUUUGAUACUGGUAGUCUUGAGUUCGAGAGAGGUGAGUGGAAUUCCGAGUGUAGAGGUGAAAUUCGUAGAUAUUCGGAGGAACACCAGUGGCGAAGGCGGCUCACUGGCUCGAUACUGACGCUGAGGUGCGAAAGCGUGGGGAGCAAACAGGAUUAGAUACCCGUGUAGUCCCA